Ictidomys tridecemlineatus (thirteen-lined ground squirrel) is the source of this 102-nucleotide non-coding RNA. Lineage: Eukaryota; Metazoa; Chordata; Mammalia; Rodentia; Sciuridae. The record is from Rfam.
AUAUCUGUGAUUAUUGUUAUCAGGAGUAACACACAGAAAACUUGGGAAACUGAACAAAAUGAGUGAACACUCUACAUUGUCAUAUUCAUCAAACUGAGGUCC